GAAUGGUUUAAUUGACUCAAAUUUCUAAUACAUCAUGAUUCAAAUCGGUAUUAUGUAUUUUUUUAAUAUAUAUAAAUUUCAAAUAACUUGUUAUGGGGUUAGUUGUAAGGGCUUUUAGUUCUAAUGUCGUGUAAAUUCUAAAACAUCAUCUAUUCAUCUUAUGAACUCCCACGCUGGAUCUGUGCAUUCAACUUUCAUUUUGAAAGUUGGCAUCAGGAGUUGAAUCCUGGUAAAAAAGGUGGGAAAAAGAUGGAAAUUAAACUUACAUUUGUAUAAUAAGCUUUCAAAAACGCCCAUGGUGUGUCCACUCU
This 311-nucleotide unclassified non-coding RNA is filed under the name Hevea brasiliensis (rubber tree). The record is from RNAcentral. Lineage: Eukaryota; Viridiplantae; Streptophyta; Magnoliopsida; Malpighiales; Euphorbiaceae.